RNAcentral lists this ribosomal RNA (731 nucleotides) under Escherichia coli. Its description in RNAcentral is "partial 23S ribosomal RNA". It matches the Rfam family "Bacterial large subunit ribosomal RNA", at positions 2191 to 2916 of the family's 2925-position model. Lineage: Bacteria; Pseudomonadati; Pseudomonadota; Gammaproteobacteria; Enterobacterales; Enterobacteriaceae. The record is from RNAcentral.
CUUGAAAUACCACCCUUUAAUGUUUGAUGUUCUAACGUUGGCCCGUUAUCCGGGUUGCGGACAGUGUCUGGUGGGUAGUUUGACUGGGGCGGUCUCCUCCUAAAGAGUAACGGAGGAGCACGAAGGUUGGCUAAUCCUGGUCGGACAUCAGGAGGUUAGUGCAAUGGCAUAAGCCAGCUUGACUGCGAGCGUGACGGCGCGAGCAGGUGCGAAAGCAGGUCAUAGUGAUCCGGUGGUUCUGAAUGGAAGGGCCAUCGCUCAACGGAUAAAAGGUACUCCGGGGAUAACAGGCUGAUACCGCCCAAGAGUUCAUAUCGACGGCGGUGUUUGGCACCUCGAUGUCGGCUCAUCACAUCCUGGGGCUGAAGUAGGUCCCAAGGGUAUGGCUGUUCGCCAUUUAAAGUGGUACGCGAGCUGGGUUUAGAACGUCGUGAGACAGUUCGGUCCCUAUCUGCCGUGGGCGCUGGAGAACUGAGGGGGGCUGCUCCUAGUACGAGAGGACCGGAGUGGACGCAUCACUGGUGUUCGGGUUGUCAUGCCAAUGGCACUGCCCGGUAGCUAAAUGCGGAAGAGAUAAGUGCUGAAAGCAUCUAAGCACGAAACUUGCCCCGAGAUGAGUUCUCCCUGACUCCUUGAGAGUCCUGAAGGAACGUUGAAGACGACGACGUUGAUAGGCCGGGUGUGUAAGCGCAGCGAUGCGUUGAGCUAACCGGUACUAAUGAACCGUGAGG